UUUAUGGAGAGUUUGAUCCUGGCUCAGGAUGAACGCUGGCGGCGUGCCUAAUACAUGCAAGUCGAGCGAACGGACGAGAAGCUUGCUUCUCUGAUGUUAGCGGCGGACGGGUGAGUAACACGUGGAUAACCUACCUAUAAGACUGGGAUAACUUCGGGAAACCGGAGCUAAUACCGGAUAAUAUUUUGAACCGCAUGGUUCAAAAGUAAAAGACGGUCUUGCUGUCACUUAUAGAUGGAUCCGCGCUGCAUUAGCUAGUUGGUAAGGUAACGGCUUACCAAGGCAACGAUGCAUAGCCGACCUGAGAGGGUGAUCGGCCACACUGGAACUGAGACACGGUCCAGACUCCUACGGGAGGCAGCAGUAGGGAAUCUUCCGCAAUGGGCGAAAGCCUGACGGAGCAACGCCGCGUGAGUGAUGAAGGUCUUCGGAUCGUAAAACUCUGUUAUUAGGGAAGAACAUAUGUGUAAGUAACUGUGCACAUCUUGACGGUACCUAAUCAGAAAGCCACGGCUAACUACGUGCCAGCAGCCGCGGUAAUACGUAGGUGGCAAGCGUUAUCCGGAAUUAUUGGGCGUAAAGCGCGCGUAGGCGGUUUUUUAAGUCUGAUGUGAAAGCCCACGGCUCAACCGUGGAGGGUCAUUGGAAACUGGAAAACUUGAGUGCAGAAGAGGAAAGUGGAAUUCCAUGUGUAGCGGUGAAAUGCGCAGAGAUAUGGAGGAACACCAGUGGCGAAGGCGACUUUCUGGUCUGUAACUGACGCUGAUGUGCGAAAGCGUGGGGAUCAAACAGGAUUAGAUACCCUGGUAGUCCACGCCGUAAACGAUGAGUGCUAAGUGUUAGGGGGUUUCCGCCCUUAGUGCUGCAGCUAACGCAUUAAGCACUCCGCCUGGGGAGUACGACCGCAAGGUUGAAACUCAAAGGAAUUGACGGGGACCCGCACAAGCGGUGGAGCAUGUGGUUUAAUUCGAAGCAACGCGAAGAACCUUACCAAAUCUUGACAUCCUUUGACAACUCUAGAGAUAGAGCCUUCCCCUUCGGGGGACAAAGUGACAGGUGGUGCAUGGUUGUCGUCAGCUCGUGUCGUGAGAUGUUGGGUUAAGUCCCGCAACGAGCGCAACCCUUAAGCUUAGUUGCCAUCAUUAAGUUGGGCACUCUAAGUUGACUGCCGGUGACAAACCGGAGGAAGGUGGGGAUGACGUCAAAUCAUCAUGCCCCUUAUGAUUUGGGCUACACACGUGCUACAAUGGACAAUACAAAGGGCAGCGAAACCGCGAGGUCAAGCAAAUCCCAUAAAGUUGUUCUCAGUUCGGAUUGUAGUCUGCAACUCGACUACAUGAAGCUGGAAUCGCUAGUAAUCGUAGAUCAGCAUGCUACGGUGAAUACGUUCCCGGGUCUUGUACACACCGCCCGUCACACCACGAGAGUUUGUAACACCCGAAGCCGGUGGAGUAACCUUUUAGGAGCUAGCCGUCGAAGGUGGGACAAAUGAUUGGGGUGAAGUCGUAACAAGGUAGCCGUAUCGGAAGGUGCGGCUGGAUCACCUCCUUUCU
This 1553-nucleotide ribosomal RNA is filed under the name Staphylococcus aureus. RNAcentral's name for it is "16S ribosomal RNA". It matches the Rfam family "Bacterial small subunit ribosomal RNA". The record is from RNAcentral. Lineage: Bacteria; Bacillati; Bacillota; Bacilli; Caryophanales; Staphylococcaceae.